UACGGGGGGGGCAAGCGUUGUUCGGAAUUACUGGGCGUAAAGGGCUCGUAGGCGGCCAACUAAGUCAGACGUGAAAUCCCUCGGCUUAACCGGGGAACUGCGUCUGAUACUGGAUGGCUUGAGGUUGGGAGAGGGAUGCGGAAUUCCAGGUGUAGCGGUGAAAUGCGUAGAUAUUCGGAAGAACACCAGUGGCGAAGGCGGCUUACUGGUCCGGUACUGACGCUGAGGUGCGAAAGCGUGGGGAGCAAACAGG
RNAcentral lists this ribosomal RNA (253 nucleotides) under uncultured bacterium. RNAcentral's name for it is "partial 16S ribosomal RNA". It matches the Rfam family "Bacterial small subunit ribosomal RNA", at positions 524 to 776 of the family's 1533-position model. The record is from RNAcentral.